GAAGAGAAACCAAGGAAGAACAAACCCUAGAUGGGAAAAAUCAAAGAGAAAGUGUUGGAAUUCAAGGAUUUGAUCAAGCAAAGGUAAAAUUUAUUUGAUUUUGCCAGUGAUUUACCUUACCCAUGCAUUUUCCCUUAAUUUCCAUGGCUAAAUUACAUGUUUUCAUGAUGAAUUCAUGGCUGGUCAAAAUGGGUAAGGAGAGAGAAAGAUGUUGGAUUGAAUUGAUUUUAAGAUAUGUUAGUGUUUUUAGUUAGUUUAGCAUAUUUAGAAGCAAAACAACAAGAAAAGAAUCCAUUUUUCCCAUGAAUCUUCAUUGGCCGAAUCUUCGUUGAUGUGUGUAGGUGAUGGAUUGUUAUUAUUUCAAGAGAAAUGGCUUAGAAAAUGAUGAAUAAUGGUGAAAAAAUUAAGUAGGAAAAAUCACGGUGUUAGUGCACUAUAAUGGCCGAAUUUUUCCAAGAAGAAAUGGGAAGGUUUUGAUGCUGCAAUUGAUGUUAUUUGAAUAAUGUUUGGUGAAUUGAGGUAUUAGAAAUUAAAUGGAGCAAUUUGGAGCCAAAUCGGACACAAUUGUCAUUUAAUCCGGUAAUAGGCCAAAUUAGGUCAGCACUGCAUUUAAGCGGUAGUCGGAUAAGUUGCAUAUCAUAUCAUGCAUAUACAUCGAGCCUGAAUUGAUUUUAUAAUGGUCAAGCAUUAAUGUGGUGAAUUAUGUAUUGUACAUUGUGGAUAGGUGGUGAGCAAAUUACACUAGUAAAAGUACAGAGAUUUUGCUUGAAGAUUGGGAUUAGGAGUACAUCGACUCCUAGAACUGUGAGUAAACUUAUUAUCGUCUUAAUUAUCUAGAGUAGUUUUAUAAAAAAUGGGUUUAAAUGGUAAAUUACUACGUUGUAGGAGAAAUUGUGAUUUUAUAAAAUGAUUUUAUAAAUUUUUUGAAAAAUUGAAUACUGGUUUUGAAAAUAGAGUAAUUGAAGACUGCCUGCUUGUGUUAUAAAUUGUGUUUUAAAUUAUAUGGCUUAUAGCAAUAUGUGAGCAUGAAUGGCAAAGUCGGUAUUUGUAUCAAAAUUAUAUAUACUAUGUAUUCAGCCUUGGGAGCCUAGAUUGCGAUAAAUUGCCAUGUCAUGCAGAUAAGGAUUUUAUAAAUCAGGUGGUAGAUAAAAUAAUUCAUAGUCACUGCAGUGGUGGGGGUUUUCGUGGAUUGCCUAUGAGAGGGGCACGGUAACUCAGUUAUAUAUUUACCUUCGGGGGGAGAUGUUGGAUAAAGUAUCUCCUGAGGUAAAGAUUUGAGUGCACUUCACGUGGACCACCGCGUGAGAGUGAGACUCAGCCAACGUCAAGGAACGGCUAUGUGUCAGAUGCGAAAACAUGUUUAUAGGUAUGGGACAUUUAACAACCUUGGCGGUCUCAAUGGGAUACCUUGACGAAGGUACCCACGAGAAUGAUUUUGGCAAGAGCCAAGUUUUGUGAGAUAUAUAAGCCAUGUUGAUUAAUUGAGUAAACUGAAUAUUCAUGUUAUGAAACAUAUAUCAGAAAAGAAUAUUUUAAUUCGUCUCCAUUUACUCACCUUUAGAUAGUUUAGAUGGUGUCUGUUUACUCACUGAGAUUUUAUAAUCUCACCACCCUCAUUUCCUCACAUUUCAGGCUCAGGAAAUUCCAUAGUUAGCUGACUUUGACAAGAACCUUCAUUUAGACUUGAAUCGACAAAAGCUGUAGGUUUUCAGCUUCUGAUGCAUUUUGGUUAGUUGGGGGCUCAUGUGUCACUGUAAAAGUAAUUUUAUACUUUAGUUGUCUGAUUUAAAGUAUGUAUGAACAUAUUUAGCUUUUACACCAUGUUUUUGGCGGGUUUCAGUAUUUUCGAAAAAAAAUACCGAAAAUGCCCUUGUGAGCCAAAAAAUAAUAUUUUAUUGUUUUGAUUUGGAAACGACUUAUGAUUUCUUUAAAUACGAUAUUUAAUAACUGUCGCUCACCGGGGAGAUGCGAAAGCUGAUGCUAAGCCUUGCGGGGUUUCGAUCAGCAUUCAGGGUAAUGAGUGCCUAUCGAGACGUCGCGACGGUUGUCAUGGGCCCGAUGGGAGUUUCGGGUCGUGACACAGUAAACCCAGUUAUAUUUUACCUCGGUACGAGAGGCGUGGAGGGUAUCUCCUGAGGUAAAGCUUUGGAGUUCACUACACGCUAAACCAGCACGUGAGGGUGAACUCAGCCAACGCCAAGGAACAGCUAUGCUUUUAAACGUAAAAAUGUGUUUUAUGAGUAUAUGAACUUUUCUUUAAUAGCCUUGGCAGACUCGAUUGGAUGCCCCGGCCAAGGUAUCCCCGAGAAUGAGUUUUGGCACGAGCCAAAUUUUUAAGAAAUUCAUAAGCCAUGUUGAUUAUUUGAGUGAAAUGAAAUUAUUUUAUUUAGUUGAAAUGAGUUUGAAAUGUUAUGAAUUAUAGUAUGAUGAAUUAUUUUAAGUUGUCUCCAUUUACUCGACUUUAGAUAUUUUAGAUGAUGUUUGCUUACUCACUGAGUUUAUAUAAACUCACCACCCUCCUUUCCACUCAUUCCAGGAUCAAGACAGUCUGUAGAUAGCUGAUUUCAUCGAGGAUCUACUUUAGAAUUUACAUCCUUAGAAAUCAAAGGUCUACCUUCUUGUACAUAUUUGUUUAUUUUGGGAACCCACAUGUCAUUGUAGAGUAUUUUGUAUACCUGGCUGCGUGUGCCACUGUAUGUAUGAAUAUAUUUUUCUUUUACGCUACAAAAAUUAUUUACGUAGAGUUCUGUAAAUAUUGUUUUAUAAGAAAAUAGAAUAUUUUAUUUAAUAUUUUUAUUUAGUUUGAUUAGCCAUAAUUUCAUUUCAAAUGGAUGAUUUAGAUUGCUAAAAUUAUUUUUAGAUAAGAAAUGUAUAUUUUUUGAUCGUAUACUAUAUUUUCACCAGGUUUCAAAAUUUUUAUGUAAAAAUGACCAAAAUAUCCGUGUGGCAAAAAUUAUUUUUUUGUUUGUUUUGAUUUAAAAAUAAUUUAUAUUCCCUAAAAUAUGAUAUUUAGUAACUAUUGCUCACAAGGGAGAUGUAAAACUGAUACGAGAGCCUUGUAAGGUUUCGGUUGACAUUUCGGGUAGUGAAUGUCUAUCGAGACAUCGCAGUGGAUGUCACGGGCUCGAAGGGAGUAUCGGGUCGUGACAAAUAAGGCUUUCGAAGGCAUAAGUGACUAUAAAUAGACUUUUCUUGUCAAUGGAUGGCUUUCACUUUGCGUUUCUUGAGGCAACAUUUAAUUAUAAUCUUUCUUAACCAAAAAUGUAAAAAAAUUCAACUUAAAAUCAAUUAUGAGAUUACUAAACCAUUUAAAACAAGUAAUAAGGCUUUCGAAGGCAUUAGUGACUACAAAUGAACUUUUCUUCUCAAUCGAUGGCUUUCGCUUCACAUUUCUCAUGGUAAACAUUUAGUUAUUAUCUGUUUUAACCAAAAUGGUAAAAAAAUUCAACUUAAAAUCAAUUAUGAGAUUAUAAAACCAUUUAAAGUGAGUAAUAAGGCUUUUCAAAGGAAUGAGUGACUAUAAAUGAACUUUUCUUGUCAAUAAAUGGCUUUCGCUUCACUUUUCUUGAGGCAAACAUUUAAUUAUAAUCUUUCUUCACCAAAAAUGUAAAAAAAUUCAACUUAAAAUCAAUUAUGAGAUUAUAAAACCGUUUAAAGUGAGUAAUAAGGCUUCCAAAGAUAUCAGUGACUAUAAAUGGGCUUUUCUCAUCACUUGAUAACUUUCCCUUCACGUUUCUCGAGGUAAAUAUUCAAUUAUAGUAUGUUUUAACCAAAAAUAUAAAAAAAUUCAAUUUAAAAUAAAUUAUGAGAUUGUAAAGCCAUUUAAAGCAAGUAAUAAGGCUUUCAAAGGUAUGAGUGACUAUAAAUGAACUUUUCUUCUCAAUGGAUGGCCUUCGCUUCAUGUUUCCUGAAGCAAAUAUUCAAUUAUAACCUGUUCUAAUUGAAAAGGCAAAAAAAUUCAACUUAAAAUUGAUUAUGAGAUUAUAAAAUCGUUUAAAGCAAGUGAUAAGGCUUCCAAAGGCAUGAGAGACUAUAAAUGUAUUUUUCUUCUCAAUGGAUGGCUUUCGCUUCACGUUUCCCAAAGCAAAUAUUCAAUUACAAUCUACUUUAACCAAAAAUGCAAAAGCAUUCAACUUAAAAUCAAUUAUGAGACUAUAAAAGCAUUUAGAGCGAGUAAUAAGGCUUCCGAAGGCAUGAGUGACUAUAAAUAAACUUUCUUUCUCAAUGCAUGGCUUUCACUUCAUGUUUCUCGAGGAAAAUAUUUAAUUAUAAUUUAUUUUAAGCAAAAAGGUAAAAAAUUUUGGCUUAAAAUCAAUUAUGAGAUUAUAAAAUCAUUGAAAGUAAGUAAUAAGGCUUUUGAAAGCAUUGGAUGGAUUUCGUUUUGCGUUUCCUGAGGUAAACAUUCAGUUAUAAUCUAUUUCAACCAAAAAUAUAAAACAAUUCAACUUAAAAUCAAUUAUGAGAUUAUAAAACCAUUUAAAGCAAGUAGUAAUGCUUCUAAAGGCAUGAGUGACUAUAAAAGGACUUUUCUUGUUAAUGGAUGGCUUUUGCCUCACGUUUCCUGAGGUAAACAUUCGAUUAUAAUCUAUUUCAACCAAAAAUAUAUAAAAAAUUCCACUUAAAAUCAAUUAUGAGAUUAUAAAACAAUAUAAAGUGAGUAAUAAGACUGUCAAAGGCAUGAGUGACUACAAAUGGACUUUUCUUUCCAAUUGAUGGCUUUUGCUUCACAUUUCCCAAGAUAAACAUUCAAUUAUAAUCUGUUUUAACCAAAAAUGUAAAAAAUUUCAACUUAAAAUCAAUUAAGAGAUUAUAGAACCAUUAAAAGCGAGUAAUAAGGCUUCCAAAGGCAUGAGUGACUAUAAAUGGACUUUUCUUGUCAAUGGACGACUUUCACUUCGCGUUUCUCAAGAUAAACAUUCGAUUAUAAUCUAUUUUAACAAAAAAUGUAAAAAAAUUCAACUUAAAAUCAAUUAUGAGAUUAUAAAACUCUUUAAAGCGAGUAAUAAGGCUUACGAAGCCAUGAGUUACUAUAAAUGAACUUUUCUUCUCAAUGCAUGGGUUUCACAUCACAUUUUCGAAGGUAAAUAUUCAAUUAUAAUCUCUUCUAACUGAAAACAUAAACAAAUUUAACUUAAAAUUAAUUAUAAGGUUAUAAAGCCAUUUAAAGCGAGUAAUAAGGCUUUCGAAGGCAUAAGUGACAAUAAAUAGACUUUGUUUGGCAAUGGAUGGCUUUCGCUUCACGUUUCCGAGGUAAACAUUCAAUUAUAAUCUGUUUUAACCAAAAAUGUAAAAAAAAUUAACUUUAAAUCAAUUAUGAGAUUAUAAAAAUUUAAAGCGAGUAAUAAGGCUUUUGAAGGGAUGAGUGGUUAUAAAUGAAGUUUUCUUCUUAACGAAUGGCUUUCGCUUCACGUUUCUCGAGGUAAAUAUUCAAAAUGAUCUGUUUUAAUCAAAAAGGUAAAAAAAUUCAACCUAAAAUCAAUUAUGAAAUUAUAAAACCAUUUAAAGCGAGUAAUAAGGCUUUCGAAGGCAUGAGUGACUAUAAAUGAACUUUUUUUCUCAAUGGGUGGCUUUCGCAUCAUGUUUCUCGAGAUAAAUAUUCAAUUAGAAUCUGUUUUAACUAAAAAUGUGAAAAAAUUCACAUAAAAUCAAUUAGGAGAUUAUAAAACCAUUUAAAGCGAGUAAUAAGCCUUUUGAAGGAAUCAGUGACUACAAAUCGACUUUUCUUGUCAAUGGAUGACUUUCGCAUCAUGUUUCUCGAGGUAAACAUUUAAUUAUAAUCUGUUUUAACUAAAAAUGUAAAAACAAUUGAAGCUAAAAUCAAUUAUGAGAUUAUAAAACCAUUUAAAGCAACUAAUAAGGCUUUCGAAGGCAUGAGUGACUAUAAAUGAACUUUUCUUCUCAAUGCAUGGCUUUUGCUUCACGUUUUUCAAAGCAAAUAUUCAAUUAUAACCUGUUUUAAUUGAAAAGGUAAAAAAAUUCAAUUUAAAAAUUUGUUAUAAGAUUAUAAAACCAUUUAAAGCAAGUAAUAAGGCUUCCGAAGGCAAGAGUGACUAUAAAUGGACUUUCUUGUCAAUGGAUGUCUUUCGCUUAAUGUUUUUCGAGGUAAACAAUCAAUUAUAAUCUGUUUUAACCAAAAAUGUGAAAAAAUUCACAUAAAAUCAAUUAAGAGAUUAUAAAACCAUUUAAAGCGAGUAAUAGGGCUUUCAAAGGCCUAGGUGGCAAUAAAUUGGCUUUUCUUGGCAAUUGAUGGCUUUCACUUCAUGUUUCCCAUGGCAAACAUUCAAUUAUAAUUUGUUUUAACCAAAAAUGUAAAAAAAAAUUUAACUUAAAAUAAAUUACGAGAUUAUAAAACCAUUUAAAACAAGUAAUAAGGCUUUUGAAUGUAUGAGUGACUAUAAAUGAACUUUUCUUCUCAUUGGAUGGCUUUCGCUUCACGUUUCCCAAAGUAAAUAUUCAAUUGUAAUAUGUUUUAACCAAAAAGGAAAAAAAAUUCAACUUAAAAUCGAUUAUGGAAUUAUAAAACCAUUUAAAGCGAGUAAUAAGGCUUCCGAAGGCAUGAGCGACUAUACAUGGACUUUCUUGUCAAUGGAUGGCUUUCACUUAAUGUUUCUCAAGGUAAACAAUCCAUUAUAAUCUGUUUUAACCAAAACUGUGAAAGUAUUCACAUAAAAUGUCACGACUUGGUACUCCCCUCGAGCUCGUGACAACCGCUGCGAUGUCCCGAUCGACACUCAUUACCUAGAAUGUCAACCGGAACCCCACAAGGCUUUAAUAUUAGUUUCUCAUUUUCCCUGUGAGUAACCGUUGUCAAAUAUCAUGUUCUAAAAGAUUUUAAGCUAUUUCCAACUUAAAUCAAUAAAAAAAAUGAUUUUUGUCUCACAUGGGCAUUUUGGUCAUUUUUUCCCAAAAAUUUUGAAACUAGAUAAAAAUGUAGUAUGCGAGUAUAAAACACAUAAUUCAUAAUCAAGAAUAAGUUUAAACGUCUAAAACCUUCAUUUAGAAUGAAAUUAUGACUAUUUGAAUAUAAUAAAAAUAUUCAAUAAAAUAUUCUAUUUUCUUAUAAAACAAUAUUUAUAGAGUUACCGGUAAAUAAUUUUUGUAGUGUAAAAGCUAAAUAAAUUCAUACAUACUGUAAUACAAAUAACCAAAGCAUAAGAUUUAAUUUACAGUGACACGUGGGCCCACGAACGACCAAAAGUAUCAAAAGCAGUAAACCUACAGUUUUUGAGGAUGCAAGUCCAACUGUAGCCCUCAAUGAAAUGAGCUAUUUACCGACUAUCCUGAGCCUGAAAUGGGUGAAAAUGAGGGUGGUGAGAUUAUAUAAUCUCAAUGUGUAAACAAAUACCAUCUAAAAUACUAAAGCUGAGUAAAUGGAGACAGAUAAAAUAGAUCAACAUAAAAAUGAUUCACAGCAUUUCGAACUCAUUUUAAUAAGAUAAAAUAGAUUCAUUUCACCAAAAUAAACAACGAGGCUUAUGAUUUCCUGAAAAGUUUGGCUCGUGCCAAAAUCAUUCUCAUACUCAGUUAUCAGGGAUACCUUGGCCUGGGGCUAUCCCAACUGAGUCCACCAAGGUUGUUAAAAAAAUCAUGUACGCAUAAAUCAUGUUUUUAUUUUGAAAACAUAGCCGUUCCUUGGCAUUGGCUGAGUUCACCCUCACGUGGUGGUUUGGCGUGAAGUGAACUCUAAAGUUUUAACCUCAAGAGUUAUCCAACCACGCCUCUCAUACUGAGAUAUGAAUAUAAUAGGGUUAUCGCGCCCUUUAAUAGGUUAGUCCACGGAACCCGUCAACUGCAGCGACCAAUUAUAACCCACAAAUUCAAUAAAAUUCAACAGUAUGACAUGGCAAUUAUUUUAUUUUACAACCUCUCAAGGCAAAUCAACAGUUCAUACAUUUUCAACACAUUUACCAAUUCAACCAUUCAUGCCAAUAUUAUCAUAAGCCAUUCAAUUCAAACCAUGAUUUAUAACACGGCAAUUAGUCUUUAAUUACUCCAUUUUUAAAACCAUCUUUCAAUUUCAAGAUAAUUUCAUAAAAUUAUUUCAUUUAAUCACAUUUUUCGUAAAAUUAUAAAAUCGAAUAAAAACAUACUUUAGAUAAUUAAGACAAUAAUAAAGUUACUCACUAUUUCGGGAGUCGAAUUCCAAGUACUCCGAUUCUUGAUCCGCGAGUACUAUUUCUUUACUUUUGCUAGAAUGCUCACCACCUAGACAUAAUGCACAAUAAGCCAUUUACUACAUUUGUGCUAAAUUGUUAUAAAACCAAUAUAGGCUUCAUCGUCUACAUGCGGCGUUGGCCUAAUUCGAUCUAUCACCCGAUUAAUUGGCCAAUACGUCCAAUUCAACUCCAAAUAAUUCCAUUUCUCUCCUAAUACUUCAAAUCACCAAACACAAGUCAAAUAACAUAAAAUUUAGCAAAACCAUCCUCACAUUUCUUCUUGAGAAUUUCGGCCAUGGUGAGUGCAUCAACACUAUGAUUUUUUCUACUUGAUUUUCUCACCAUUAUUCAUCAUUUCCUAACCAAUUCACUUGAAAAAAAAUCAAAUCCACCAUCAACACUCUACAAGGAAGAUUCAGCCAAUGAUGAACUCAUGAGGAAUAUGUGAAUUUCAAGCUUAAUUCUUACAUUUAACACCAUAAACAACUAAAACCAUCCAUAUAUCUUAAAAAUCUAUCUAAAUCAUCAUCAAAUUCUCUCUCCUUGGGUUUGAUCAGCACACUAUCUUUCAUGAUAUCUUGUGAUUUAACCAUGAAAAAUGUAAAAUAAUGCAUAGGAAAGAUAGAUCACAAGCUAGAGUUAAGAAAUUUCACCUUUGAUGGCUUGAUUACUUGAAAUCCACCAAUUUUCUCUUGAAUUUUCACUCUAGGGUUUUUGUUCUUCUUUUCUUCCUUUGUUCUUGCUAUGGCCAGGCAUAAGAAUGAAUGUGGAAGAGUUCAAAUUGGCUUUAUAAAGGAAAAUAUUAAAUGGACAAAAAUUUACCAUGUGUCACCAUUCCAUUGGUCCAUGUGUCAUACUUACCCAUUAAGCAAUCUCUCUCCACCAUAUAAAUAUCCUCAAUUAUCCAUGAUAAUAUUGGGUAAAAUCCAUGCGCUGGACAAGUGUUGGGUGAUGUAAAAUUACAAUUUUACCCUUAGGUGGCAAAAUGACUAUUUUGCCCUUAUCCUCGAAAAAACACCGAAAUUAAAAUUCUUCACUUCUAAAACUCAAAUUAUACUCCAAAUGAUCAAUCUUAGUCAAAAAUUUCAUCCAACACUCACAUCUUAAACUUGGAUAGCAAAAUGACCAUUUUGCCCCUGAGUCAUGAAAAUUCCAAUUUGACUCCAAAUCGGUCAUCAAACUCUGAAUCACCAUUUUAAGUCAUUUUGGGGUUUUAAAAUUCUCAAUUUCAUCUUAAAAUCUCUAUUUGGACGAGUUCGAGGCUUAAUUCAACUUAAUUGUACCAUUUGGUACAUUACCGUUCUUUAACGAUUUUCAAGGUACCCAAGUAAGCAAACAUGCAUUCUUAUGUAGGAAUGGCAUAAUAAACAUAUUGUAGAGCCGGGCUUAACAUAAAAUAAAUUAGGAGAUUAUAAAACCAUUUAAAGCGAGUAAUAAGGCUUUCAAAGGCCUAAGUGACAAUAAAUUGACUUUUCUUGGCAAUGGAUGGCUUUCACUUCAUGUUUCCCAUGGCAAACAUUCAAUUAUAAUCUGUUUUAACCAAAAAAUAUAAAAAAAAUUCAACUUAAAAUAAAUUAUGAGAUUAUAAAACCAUUUAAAACAAGUAAUAAGGCUUUUGAAGGUAUGAGAGACUAUAAAUGAACUUUUCUUCUCAUUGGAUGGCUUUCGCUUCACGUUUCCCUAAGCAAAUAUUUAAUUAUAACUUGUUUUAACCAAAAAGGCAAAAAAAGUCAGCUUAAAAUCGAUUAUGGGAUUAUAAAACCAUUUAAAGUGAGUAAUAAGGCUUCCGAAGGCAUGGGCGACUAUAAAUGGACUUUCUUGUCAAUGGAUGGCUUUCGCUUAAUGCUUCCCAAGGUAAACAUUCAGUUAUAAUCUGUUUUAACCAAAAAUAUGAAAAAAAUUCAACUUAGAAUCAAUUAUGAGAUUAUAAAACCAUUUAAAGCGAGUAAUAAGGCUUUUAAAGGCAUGAGUGACAAUAAAUGGGCAUUUCUUGGCAAUGGAUGGCUUUUGAUUCACAUUUCCCAUGGAAAACAUUCAAUUAUAAUCUCUUUUAAUCAAAAAUGUAAAAAAAAUUCAACUUAAAAUAAAUUAUGAGAUUAUAAAGCCAUUUAAAGCGAUCGAUAAGGCUUUCGAAGGCAUGAGUGACUAUAUAUGGACUUUCUUGUCAAUGGAUGGCUUUCGCUUAAUGUUUCCCAAGGUAAACAUUCAAUCAUGAUCUGUUUUAACCAAAAAAUGUAAAAAAAAUUCAACUUAAAAUUAAUUAUGAGAUUGUAAAACCAUUUAAAGUGAGUAAUAAGUUGUUUGAAAGAAUGAGUGACCAUAAAUCAUCUUUUCUUGUCAAUGGAUGGCUUUCACAUCAUGUUUCCCAAAGUAAACAUUCAAUUAUAAUAUGUUUUGACUAAAAAUGUAAAAAAAAAUUCAACCUAAAAUCAAUUAUGAGAUUAUAAAACCAUUUAAAGUGAGUAAUAAGGCUUUCGAAGGCAUGAGUGACUAUAUAUGAACUUUUCUUCUCAAUGUAUGGCUUUUGCUUCACGUUUCCCAAAGCAAAUAAUCAAUUAUAACCUGUUUUAACUCAAAAGGUAAAAAUAUUCAUUUUAAAAUCGAUUAUGAGAUUAUAAAACCAUUUAAAGCGAGUAAUAAGGCUUUUGAAGGUAUGAGUGACUAUAAAUGGACUUUCUUGUCAAUGGAUGGCUUUCGCUUAAUGUUUUUGAGGUAAGCAAUCGAUUAUAAUAUGUUUUUAACCAAAAAUGUGAACAAAUUCACUUCAAAUCAAUUAAGAGAUUAUAAAACCAUUUAAAGUGAGUAAUAAGGCUUUUAAAGGCCUAAGUGACAAUAAAUGGACUUUUCUUGGUAAUGGAUGGCUUUCGCUUCAGGUUUCCCAUGGUAAACAUUCAAUUAUAAUCUGUUUUAACUAAAAAUGUAAAAAAAAUUCAACUUAAAAUAAAUUACGAGAUUAUAAAACCAUUUAAAGCAAGUAAUAAUGCUUUCGAAGGUAUGAGUGACUAUAAAUGAACUUUUCUUCUCAUUGGAUGACUUUCGCUUCAUGUUUCUCAAAGCAAAUAUUCAAUUAUAACCUAUUUUAAUCAGAAAGGGAAAAUAAUUCAACUUCAAAUCGAUUAUGAGAUUAUAAAACCAUUUAAAGCGAGUAAUAAGGCUUCUGAAGGCAUGAGUGACUAUAAAUGGACUUUCUUGUCAAUGGAUGGCUUUUGCUUAAUGCUUCCCAAGGUAAACAUUCAGCUAUAAUCUGUUUUAACCAAAAAUGUAAAAAAAUUCAACUUAAAAUCAAUUAUGAGAUUAUAAAACCAUUUAAAGCGAGUAAUAAGGCUUUUGAAGGCAUGAGUGACAAUAAAUGGACUUUCCUUGGCAAUGGAUGGCUUUUGCUUCAUGUUUCCCAUGAAAAACAAUCAAAUAUAAUCUGUUUUAACAAACAAUGUAAAAAAAUUCAACUUAAAAUCAAUUAUGAGAUUAUAUAACCAUUUAAAGGGAGAAACAAAGCUUUUGAAGGCAUAAGUGACUAUAAAAGAAGUUUUCUUCUCAAUGAAUGGUUUUUGCUUCACGUUUCUCGAGGUAAACAUUCAAUUAUAAUCUGUUUUAACCAAAAAUGUAAAAAAAAUUCAACUUAAAAUCAAUUAUGAGAUUAUAUAACCAUUUAAAGGGAGAAACAAAGCUUUUGAAGGCAUAAGUGACUAUAAAAGAAGUUUUCUUCUCAAUGAAUGGUUUUUGCUUCACGUUUCUCGAGGUAAACAUUCAAUUAUAAUCUGUUUUAACCAAAAAUGUAAAAACAAUUCAACUUAAAAUCAAUUAUGAGAUUAUAUGAUCAUUUAAAGGCAUAAAUAAAGCUUUUGAAGGCAUAAGUGACUAUAAAAGAAGUUUUCUUCUCAAUGAAUGGUUUUUGCUUCACGUUUCUCGAGGUAAACAUUCAAUUAUAAUCUGUUUUAACCAAAAAUGUAAAAAAAAUUCAACUUAAAAUCAAUUAUGAGAUUAUAUGAUCAUUUAAAGGCAUAAAUAAAGCUUUUGAAGGCAUAAGUGACUAUAAAAGAAGUUUUCUUCUCAAUGAAUGGUUUUUGCUUCACGUUUCUCGAGGUAAACAUUCAAUUAUAAUCUGUUUUAACCAAAAAUGUAAAAAAAAUUCAACUUAAAAUCAAUUAUGAGAUUAUAUGAUCAUUUAAAGGCAUAAAUAAAGCUUUUGAAGGCAUAAGUGACUAUAAAAGAAGUUUUCUUCUCAAUGAAUGGUUUUUGCUUCACGUUUCUCGAGGUAAACAUUCAAUUAUAAUCUGUUUUAACCAAAAAUGUAAAAAAAAUUCAACUUAAAAUCAAUUAUGAGAUUAUAUGAUCAUUUAAAGGCAUAAAUAAAGCUUUUGAAGGCAUAAGUGACUAUAAAAGAAGUUUUCUUCUCAAUGAAUGGUUUUUGCUUCACGUUUCUCGAGGUAAACAUUCAAUUAUAAUCUGUUUUAACCAAAAAUGUAAAAAAAAUUCAACUUAAAAUCAAUUAUGAGAUUAUAUGAUCAUUUAAAGGCAUAAAUAAAGCUUUUGAAGGCAUAAGUGACUAUAAAAGAAGUUUUCUUCUCAAUGAAUGGUUUUUGCUUCACGUUUCUCGAGGUAAACAUUCAAUUAUAAUCUGUUUUAACCAAAAAUGUAAAAAAAAUUCAACUUAAAAUCAAUUAUGAGAUUAUAUGAUCAUUUAAAGGCAUAAAUAAAGCUUUUGAAGGCAUAAGUGACUAUAAAAGAAGUUUUCUUCUCAAUGAAUGGUUUUUGCUUCACGUUUCUCGAGGUAAACAUUCAAUUAUAAUCUGUUUUAACCAAAAAUGUAAAAAAAAUUCAACUUAAAAUCAAUUAUGAGAUUAUAAAACCAUUUAAAGCAAGUAAUAAGGCUUACGAAGCCAUGAGUGACUAUAAAUGAACUUUUCUUCUAAAAUGGAUGGCAUUCGCAUCGCGUUUCCUGAGAUAAAUACUCAAUUAUAAUCUAUUUUAACAAAAAAUGUGAAAAAAUUCACUUAAAAUCAAUUAAGAGAUUAUAAAACCAUUUAAAGCAAAUACUAAGGCUUUCGAAGCCAUAAGUGACAAUAAAUGGACUUUUCUUGGCAAUGGAUGGCUUUCAUUUCACGUUUCUCAUGGCAAACAUUCAAUUAUAAUCUGUUUUAACUAAAAAUAUAAAAAAUUCAACUUAAAAUAAAAAAUGAGAUUAUAAAACCAUUUAAAGCGAGUAAUAAGGCUUUCGAAGGCAUGAGUGACUAUAAAUGAACUUUUCUUCCUAAUGGAUUGCUUGCGUUUCACGUUUCACGAGGCAAAUAUUCACUUAUAAUCUGUUCUAACCAAAAAGGCAUUCAAAUUCAACUUAAAACCAAUUAUGAGAUUAUAAAACUAUUUAAAGCGUGCAAUAAUGCUUUCGAAGGUAUGAGUGACUAUAAAUGGACUUUUCUUAUCAAUGGAUGGAUUUCCCUUCACAUUUUUCGAGGCAAACAUUCAAUUGUAAUUUAUUUUAACCAAAAUGUAAAAAAACUUAACUUAAAAUCAAUUAUGAGAUUACAAAAGCGUUUGAAGCGAGUAUGUCAAACCCUGUUCUAUAAAAUAAUUACGACGUCAUUUACAUGCUCAAUAGAAUGUUUGCAUAUUUAGGAAGUUUGAGAAAUCAUUAAAAGACGAUAUUGCCCCUAAUGAUACCAUUAAGUCGAUUAAACCUCGAACUAGUUCAAAUAGGGAUUUGAAUGUGAAAUUCAAAAUUUUACAGUCAAGGAAUGACUUAAAAUGGUGAUUCGGAGUUCGAGGAUUAAUUUGGAGUCAAAUCGAAACUUUCACUAUCUAGGGGCAAAAUGGUAAUUUUGUCACCAGAGGAUAAAAUUGAAAUAUUGAAAGAAGUUUUUGAUCAAGAUUGAUCACAUUUGACUCAUUGGAGUAUAAUUUGAGGUUGAUAAGUGAAAAAGUUAUAAUUUUGGUAUUUUUGGAGUAUAGGGGCAAAACAGUAAUUUUACCGCCCCGGGGGUAAAUCGAUAAAUUUUCACCCCCGACACUUGUCAAGACCAAGGGAUUUUAUACAUCAUGGAAAUGGAUAAACAUGAGAAAUAUGUGGUGGAGAAUUAAAGAAUUAAAAGUCAAAUAUUUAAAAUUUGAACCAAUAAGGAAAUGCCAUGUGUCAUGCUUUUAUUAUUUUAUUGUUUCUUUAUAAAAAGGCAUAAAAGCCAGCCCAUUUCUCCCAUAGUGGUUGGCCAAACCAGAAGAGAAGAGAAACCAAGGAAGAACAAACCCUAGGUGCAGAAAAUCAAAGAGAAAGUGUUGGAAUUCAACGAUUUGAUCAAGCAAAGGUAAAAUUUCUUUGAUUUUGCUAGUGAUUUACCUUACCCAUGCAUUUCUUCUUAAUUUUCAUGGUUGGAUUGUAUGUUUUCAUGGGGAAAUCAUGGCUGGCCGAAUGGGUUUGGUGAGAGAAAUGAUGUUGGAAUUGUUUGAUUUUGAGUUAUGUUGGUGUUUAGAGUUAGUUAAGCAUGUUUAGAAACAAAACAACAAGAAAAGAAUCCAUUUUCCCUAUGAACCUUCAAUGGUCGAACCCUAUGUGAAGUGUAGAAGUAAUGAAUUGAUUUUGUGAUCAAGUGAAUUGGUUGAAAAAUUGAUGAAAUGAUGAUUUAUGGUGAGAAAAUGGAAUGGGAAAAUUUUUAGUGAUAGUGCAUCACAAUGGCCGAAAUUUUCAAGAAGAAUUGUGAGGGUUGUUAGGCUGAAUUUUAGAUUAUUAGAAUUGUAUUUAGUGAAUUGAUAUAUUAGAAAUGUAAUGGAACAAUUUGGAGCCAAAUCGGACACAAUUGUCAUUUAAUCGGAUAAUAGGCUGAAUUAGGUCAGCACCACAUUUAAGCGGUAGUCGGAUAAGUUGCAUAUCAUAUCAUGCAUAUACACCGAGCUUGAAUUGAUUUUAUAAUGGUCAAGCAUUAAUGUGGUGAAUUAUGUAUUGUAUAUUGUGGAUAGGUGGUGAGCAAAUUACACUGGUAAAAGUACAGAGAUUGUGCUUGAAAACUGGGAUUAGGAGUACAUCGACUCCUAGAACUAUGAGUAAACUUAUUAUCGUUUUAAUUAUCUAGAGUAGUUUUGUACAAUUGUGUGAUUUUAUAGAAAAUGGGUUUAAAUGGUAAAUUGCUAUGUUUCAGGAGAAAUUGUGAUUUUAUAAAAUGAUUUUAUAAAUUUUUUGAAAAAUUGAAUACUGAUUUUGAAAAUAGAGUAAUUGUAGACUGCCUACUUGUGUUAUAAAUUGUGUUUUAAAUUAUAUGGCUUAUAGGAAUAUGUGAGCAUGAAUGGCAAAGUCGGUAUUUGUAUCAAAAUUAUAUAUACUAUGUAUUCAGCCUUGAGAGGCUAGAUUGCGAUAAAUUGUCAUGUCAUGUAGAUAAAGAUUUUAUAAAUCAGGUGGUAGAUAAAAUAAUCCAUAAUCCCUGCAGUGGAGGUUCUGUGGACCAGCCUAAGAGAGGGGGCACAGAAUUAGAUAUACCUUACCUCGAUCAGAGAGCUGUGUGGAAGGUGUCUCUAGAGGUAAAGAUUUGAGUGCACUUCACGUGGACCACCGCGUGAGAGUGAGACUCAACCAACGCCAAGGCAUGGCUAGAUUUUCAAAUGUAAAAAUAUGUUCAUGUGUGUACUACACUGAAC
This 15776-nucleotide long non-coding RNA is filed under the name Theobroma cacao (cacao). Its description in RNAcentral is "long non-coding RNA (TCAC_LNC006282)". The record is from RNAcentral. Lineage: Eukaryota; Viridiplantae; Streptophyta; Magnoliopsida; Malvales; Malvaceae.